CCUGUGUGAUGGUAUAGUUGUUUUGGUUCAGCUAUUCCACAGCUUGCUUAAUUAAUAUUGUUUCUUGAGAUUGCUGUUUAUGUUUAGUUCGUCGAUCAUGGUUCAGACUGAAGAUCACUGCUAUUUCUCUAGGAAGAGCUCAUCAGUGUUUUUGUUUUUCUGCUUCACUACAUCUUAGCAGCUCUAGGGCACUCUCUAAGAUGGAGAUCUCUUCAAUCGGGGAUAGAUUAUUUGCGUUUCGAUCCUUCUUUAAGAGAGCAAUCCUUUAUUGCACGGACCAGGUGGAUCUGAGUACAGAAAUGGAUAAUAUCUACACAAUUGGGACUCCAACAUGGUUUCUCGGGGUCAUUUGUCGGAGCAAUUCGUGGCGGAGUGCAGGGACGCGUGGCGGCCGGGCCGUGAACGGUGGUGGACAUGGAAGAGGCUGCCAUCCCAGAUCAAGAAUAUUUUCCUAUGCCA
Molecule: long non-coding RNA, 459 nt
Filed under: Androctonus crassicauda
Lineage: Eukaryota; Metazoa; Arthropoda; Arachnida; Scorpiones; Buthidae
Source: RNAcentral